GCAAAGGGUGGAGGGUGGGAGGAGGGA
This 27-nucleotide non-coding RNA is filed under the name Homo sapiens (human). Lineage: Eukaryota; Metazoa; Chordata; Mammalia; Primates; Hominidae. The record is from RNAcentral.